Long non-coding RNA from Dermochelys coriacea (leatherback sea turtle), 5613 nucleotides. RefSeq lists it as uncharacterized. NCBI's taxonomy places the organism in Eukaryota, Metazoa, Chordata, Testudines, Dermochelyidae. The record is from RefSeq and is a predicted model, not a curated record. The transcript is spliced from 7 exons.
AUUUUUAAUUGUUUUGGUGCAGAAUGCCCUCAGGAGUAUUACUAUGUGAUGUGCUAGCAGCUGCUAGUAAGACAGUAAGAGUAAGGUAAAUUGAAUUUCGAUGAUUCAACGUCUGGCUGAAACAAUGUAGAUUUCCUAUUUGAUUUAAUCACAAGGCAUCUUGGCAUGUUAGUCUGGGAAGGAACCUGUCAGCUUUAACUUUAAGGCCAAUUUGCUUUUGCAAGCAGCAUAACAAUGACUUUUCAAGAGGAAUACACCAGUGAAUGAAAAAGUUAAUCUUUUUUGUUUCAGCUUUCUUUUACAACAAACCAGAACUGGGACAAAGGUCAGAAAGAUCAUAUUUUAUCAGGGUCCACAGUCACCAUGCAAGGCUGCUCUCAUCCCUCCUCCUGAAUGCUGUCUGCAAGAGGCUUGCAUGAUCUUGGCCAGGAAGCAGAGAACAACACAGUUAGCAACUUCUUAUGUCUUUGGAAGCUCAAAGAUGCUACCAUGACCUGAGCCAUCAGUAGGAGCAAAUUACAAUGGCUUCUCAGUGUCAGCAAUGGGAAAACUGUCUGUUCAGCUUCCCAGUAGCACCUUUUAUCCUACUUUUUAGUUGGACAAAGAAAGUGCAUAGGGACAAACCAAUAUUGUGGAAGGAGAGAGAUGACAUUGGUCCUUAUAACCAAAAGAGAGAAAAUAAACACUUUAAACAUAUCAUUUACUGGAUCAUCAUUUGGUGGGUACACACAAAGAGAGAAUUUAUCUGUUUUUGUCUUUCACCUUUUUUCCCCAAUGCUCAUCUGAAUGUGUUCUCUGUUGCAUUUGUCCUUGCUACAACUUUUUUAUCACAUAAAUGAAAAUAUAUGACACUUACCAAAUUGGAGCAUCUGUAUAGGUAAGAUGAAAUAAUAGUUAUACUCUGCAUUUUUAGAAUUUAGUACAUAUGUGGAAGAACAGAAUCCGAUGCUUACAAACACGAUGAAGCAGUAAAAAUAGAUAAGUAAACAUUUUUACCAAGAAAAGGACCACAAGGAAAGGACUUCUUCAGACAGAGCUACUCUUUCUAUGUAUAACAAAGAACUUGCUGAUCACAGAGUAAACAAACUAAAUGUAAUGGAACAAUACAUUUUUUCAAUGGAACCUUGAAAUAAUGGUGGCUACCCUCUGAAAAGAUCUGGACAAGAAGGAAAUGAUUAAAAUCAGCACUUUUAGUUGUCACUAAGUAUAAUCAAAGUUUCUAUUUCACUCAACCUAUUGCAGAUAACAUAAGGGGUUUUAACUUUGGUCAAGGAAAUCUCUCCCUCAGCAUACAUUCUAUUACAAAGUGCAUAUAUGAUAAUUCAUAGUUGAUUAACAUGAAGAUGAAUUCAACUUCUAUUUUGGAGAUCUAGAUAUUUUGUUUCCUGAGCAAGAAAGAUUUAGUUGUUGCUAUAGUGUAGUUUCCAAUUUAACAAUGCAAGUCACAUGAUAAAAAGUCAUUUACGCAUGGUUGCUAUACAAUAGGAUCUCAAAAUAUAAUUAAAAAUUUUCUAAAACUCCACAGUUCUGAGGGUCUAAGUUCUUUGUAACUUUUCUUUGUUUUCUAAUGUGAAAAGUCAGUUAGCUCAAAGCAAUUAAAUGUCUUAAAAUCUGUAGCAAUCCACUGUACAAAAAAAUCCCAAAAGAACUUUCCCUCAGAAAAUGAACAGCAAGGGAAGAUUCUGUCCUGAAAUAGUCAUAAAUAAGUCACUGUGAAGUUGAUCAAAGUUGUGCACAAAUAUCUCAGGCAGAAUGUGGCUCUAAGUGUUUUAAAUAACUUUUAUAGGUUCAAGUGCUAUGCCAAUCAAAACGAGGAGAAAGAAAUUACAUAUCACAUUAAAUAUAUUUCAUUAAGAGUUUCUUCUGUAUAGUCACACUCUUAGAAAUAGUACCCUCUUAAGGCAGCAGAGGGUGCAAUUCACAAGAUUGUGAAUAAACAGAAGCCCUUGAACAAAAAUAUUAAGAUUUAAAGUUGCAAUGAUUAUAAUUAAGGCUAUGAUUUAGUCAUGGGUAUUUUUAGUAAAAGUCACGGACAGGUAAUGGGCAAUAAACAAAAAUUCUUGGCCCCAUGACCUGUCCAUGACUUAUACUAUAAAUAUCACUGACUAAAUUGUGGGGCGGGGUUCUGCUGGGCGGGAGCGGACUGGGGGGCAUCCCGGGCCAAUAGCACCAGCUGCCCAGGGUCCGCUGUGCAGCGGCUGCUCUGGCCACCCGGGGGGCCACUAGCAGCUGCUGCUCUAGCCACCCUGGGGGCCACUAGCAGCUGCUGCUCUAGCCACCCUGGGGCUGUCUGAGCAGAGGCUAGGAAGACUGGCUCCAUGGCUACUCCAGCAGCAAUCAGUGUGGCUGGCUGCAGGGCUGCCCAAGUGGCUGGCUGCAGAGCUUCUCCAGCAGUGUCAGGUGUGUCUGUCCCUGGAGCCACCUGAGCAGCAGGCCCCGGAGCCAGCUGCUUGGGCGGCCCGGAAGUCAGCCACACUGGCCACUGCAGAAGUCACGGAGGUUGCAAAAAGUCACGGAAUCCGUGACUUCUGCAACAGACAGGGAACCCUAAUUAUAAUUCCUUUUAAGGAGAAUAAAAGAGCUUUCAGAUCAAGCAGAUAUUAAGACACCAAAACACUAAAAACUAAACCUGGUUAAAAAAAUGGUGAAACCCUUCUUAAUGUAUGCAAGAGAACUGGAUAACUCAGAUUGGGGAUAGGUUAUGGAGCCUUUCACCUCUAAAGCAUUUGCUCCAAUUGGGGUCAUGUUGAGGGAAUAGCUGGCUUGUGUGGGAGGGUGAAAGCAGAAGGGGGAUAUGGGGCCUUUCACCUUAGGGCACCAGUUCAGAUCUGACCAUCUGGUAGUGACUGACAGUCGUUACUAUUUCAUCAGUCUUGUGAAAUGAGGUUAUUGUCUAAUUCCAGUUCCUGAUGAACCAGUCCAUAUCACAAUUGAUCUCCCUAAUGGUAGUAUCUAUAGUGAGACUACUGAAUGAACAGGAGACAGGUUAUCCUGAGAGCAUGGCUAGAAAGGCAACAUCUGAGAAUCCAAUGCACAUACUGACGUGCCUUCUGGUAUUUUAUUCCAUUUGCAUACAAAAAAAAUUGGAAACUUCCAAAUAAAACGCAUAGAAGUCCUGUUAUUAAUUUCUGCAGUCAUUCACAAUGUACAGACUCAAUGUACUUAAAGCUACAAAGCCAAGAUAAGGAUGAAAUAUUUGUAUUAGCUCCAACUUCCAAAAAAUGUCACCUUCAAGCCGACACAAGGCCUGACAGUUAAUGAAAGUUACAAGAGAAUGAAAACAGCUGGUUAUAACGGUGAUAAUGCUCAUGCAACCUAUAGCGCUCCAGCUAUAAUAAUGCCUGCACAUUGGAGUAAGCUGUCAGACUUGUAUGUGUGUGUGCGCCCACGUGAGCAGUCAGAGAUUUUUGCCUUAGGACCAGCUGUGGCGUCCCCUUGAGUCCCAUGCUCAUGUGUUGGUAUAUCGGGUGCCACUGGCCCUAAACCCUCUCAGCUUCUUCUUGCCGACAACUCCGACAGAGGGGAAGGAGGGUGAGUAAUGGAAUAGACAUUGAGCACCACAUCUUGAAGAACAAUCAUUACAAAAAAGGUGGAUAACUGUUUUUUCUUCUUCAAGUGCUUGCUCAUGUCAAUUCCAUUCUAGGUGACUCACAAGCAGUAUCAAUGGAGGCAGGUUCAGAGUGCAUGGUCUUGCAGUUUGCAGCACUGCUCUGCCAAAGCCAGCAUCGUCUUUAGCUUUCUGGGUAAGCGCAUAAUGAGAUGCGAACAUGUGGACAGACGACCAGGUAGGGGCUCUUCAGAUCUCUUGGAUUAGUACCUGUGCCAGAAAGGCCGCUGAUGACGCUUGUGCCCUAGUCGAGUGUGUCGUCAUGAUUGCCGGUGGAGGCACUUUAGCCAGCUUAUAGCAGUAGCAGAUGCAGGCUGUGAUCCAGGACGAAAUCCUCUGAGCAGACACCAGGCGACCUUUCAUUCUGUCUGCCACCGCUACACACAACUGCACUGGCUUAUGGAACGGCCUUGUUGUAUCUAUAUAGAAUGCCAGCACCCUCCUGAUAUCCAAGAGGUGUAGCCUGCACUCCUCAUCCGAUGCAUGAGGCUUUGGAAAGAAGAUGGGCAAGUAUAUAUCCUGGCUAGUAUGAAACUGGGAAAUGACCUUGGGCAGAAACGAUGGGUGCGGUCACAGCAGGACCUUAUCCUUGUAGGAGACUGUAUAGGGUGGCUCCGAAAUAAGCACUCUGAUCUCAGACGCCCUGCAGGCUGACAUAAUCACAACCGGGAAUGAAACUUUCCAGGCGAGAAGUAGGAGAGAGCAGAAAGCCAGAUACUCAAAUAGAGACCCCCCCCAUGAACGUCGACAACACGAGAUUCAGGUCCCAGGAGGGACAGGAUCCUGGACAUGUGGGUAGAGAUGCUCCAGACCUUUCAAAAACUGUGCCAUCAUGUUGUGAACAAAGAUUGACCUGUCUUGGAAUGGAGGAUAGAAAGCCCAUAUAGUGACCAGGUGGACCUUGAUUGAUGACAGGGACAAACCUUGAAGUUUGAGGUGCAGCAGAUAAUCUAGGAUCUCCUGAAGCAUGGCCCAGCACGUGAAUCUUUUCCAUUUAGCCAGGUAAGUCACUCUGGUGGAGGGUUUCCUGCUACCCAGCAAGACCUUCUGGACAAGGGCCGAGCAUGCCCGUUCAUCUGUGCUUAGCCAUGCAGUAGCCAAGCCAUCAAAUGCAGCGCUGCCAGGUUGGGAUGCAAAAGGCUGCCAUGGUUCUGUGAUCUGGCCAGAGGGGCAGCUGCAGCGGGGUGGCUACCGAAAGGCUCGGCAAUGUGCCGAACAAGUGAAAAAGAGGCCAUGAAGGGGCUGUUAGGGUAACUUUUGCCCUGUCUUGCCUGAUCUUCACAAGGACUCUGUGAAUCAGCAGCACUGGCAGGAAGGUAUACAUCAGUCCCCCUGACCAUGGAAUGAGAAAGGCAUCUGACAGGGAGCCCCUGUCCAUUCCCCAGAUUGAACAGAACAUGUGGCACUUUCUGUUCUGCCUGGAUGCAAACAGGUCCACCUGAGGAGUCCCCCACCUCUGGAAUAUUAUACUGAUCACUUCUGGAUGGAGUGACCACUCAUGGUGAGAGAACAGAUCCCUGACGAGGCUGCCAAGGUCUUGGUGGUGGGGGCAGCCAGAAAUGCUUCUGUGCAGACUGCAGCAUAUGCAUGCCCAGUGAGUGAAGGGUGGCCCGAGUGUCCUUCAACUCAUGCAACCUCAUAUCCAUUUGUUUGGAGAAGAAACCAUUCCCAUUGAAUGGGAGGUCUGGAUCUUGAAUGGGAGGAAUGGAUCGAGAUCUGCAUCUCUUGGGAAAGCCCAGUGGUCUGAAGCCAGGAGUUGCGUCUCAUAACCACCGCCGCUGUGACCACCUUAGCCACCGAGUCCCACACCACCUGAAGGGACCAUCUAGCCGCUGCAGUGCCUUCCUCCACCAGGGUGCCAAAUUCUUGGGCCAAAACCUACGGGAGGGACUCCUUGAACUUAUGGAGGGAGUAUCAUGAAUUAAAAUUGUACCUGCCCAAAAGGGCCUGAUGGUUCCCCAUCUGGAAUUGUAGGUUGGCAGUGGAAUAAAUUUAUCUCCCAAAAA